UCCUAGGUGGUGCAAACAGUUAGCAUACUCAGCUGUUAACUGAAAGGUUGGAGGUUCAAGUCCUCCCAGAGGUG
Molecule: transfer RNA, 74 nt
Filed under: Loxodonta africana (African savanna elephant)
Lineage: Eukaryota; Metazoa; Chordata; Mammalia; Proboscidea; Elephantidae
Rfam family: tRNA
About the family: Transfer RNA (tRNA) molecules are approximately 80 nucleotides in length. Their secondary structure includes four short double-helical elements and three loops (D, anti-codon, and T loops).
Source: Rfam by way of RNAcentral